UAUGUAUUAUUAAGGUUAAUUUAUAGAUUGAUCCGAUAACUGGGUCGUGAAUAAUAAAGUUUUAUUCUUGCUUUGUUAUUUGCAUUUAGGAGAUUUUACAUAUAUUGAAUAUCUAAAGGAUAUAUAUAGUAGUAAUUAGUAUUAUACAAUAAGGUUAUUUUUGAUAUAGUUUUUCUUAUAGUGUUGGUUAAAUGCGUGCCAGCUGCCGCGGUUAGACGUGAAAUACGAGUAAAUAAUUUUGAUUGGAAGUUAAUUGUUUUUUUUUCAUAUAUUUUAUUAUUAGUUUUGGUGGAAUAAAGUAAAUUGUGUUUAAUUGGUUAAUAAUAUUAUGAGGCUUCGAAAUAUAUUUGAUAAACUAGGAUUAGAUACCCUAUUAUAUGUUAUGUAAAUCUAGAUAUAUUGGGGUAGUAGUAGGUAUGAUCUUGAAACCCAAAGAAUUUGGCGGUGUUUUAGUCCUUUCAGAGGAAUCUGUCCUGUGAUUGAUAAUACACGAUUUAUGUUACUUAAUUUUGUUAUCAGUUUAUAUACCGCCGUCAGUAAGAUUAUCUUGUGGAGAGUAUAAAAUUUCAUUAUAUUUUAUUUUAUAUUAUGUCAGGUCAAGGUGUAGCUAAUGAUUAAGUAGUGAUGGAUUACAAUAAGUUUAUUUAUAUGGAUAGUAAUUUGAAUAAUUUAUUUGAAGGUGGAUUUGAUUGUAAAUUAGUAUAAAUUAAUUAAUUGAUUUUGGCUCUAGAAUGUGUACAUAUCGCCCGUCGCUCUCGUUUUAAGAUGAGAUAAGUCGUAACAUAGUAGAUGUACCGGAAGGUGUAUCUGGAAUGG
Molecule: non-coding RNA, 816 nt
Filed under: Teleogryllus emma (emma field cricket)
Lineage: Eukaryota; Metazoa; Arthropoda; Insecta; Orthoptera; Gryllidae
Source: RNAcentral